GGAAGUAGACACGCCCCAACCACGCGCGUGGAAAAGGAAAAACGCCCCAAUCCGCCUCUGCUCCCGCUCGCAUCCCGCCUCCGUCCGGAGCGCCGUCGAAGCUCGCCGGGCCGGCGGCCACUCCCCUCCGAUGGAUGGUGACCAAAGUUUCUUGGACACAGUUGGUUUUGGUUACUCACAAACACAACCUCAAAGUCCAAUUGGAGAGCAAGCAACCCCAUCAACUCAGCAUGAAGCAAGACCAUCAACUCAGCAUCAAGCAAGACCAUCCAACAAAGGAAAAAAUUGGUCUACUGAUGAGGAUAAGGUUCUGAUAGCAGCAUGGGCAAAUACAAGUAUUGAUAUUGUCGAGGAACUUCUUUGAAGUAGUCGUCCCACAGAAGAACAAAUCCAGCAUCUCUUCUUCGAUCGAUUGCUCGACGUCCAUGCUUCGAACCACCGUGGCGUCGAGCGUUCAUCCUCUCUUCCUCCUCGCGCUCGGCAAAUGCUGCAAGUAUGAGUUCAUCGUCGCCAGAUGAAGAUGACGAAGAACUCAUGUCCCAAAAGGAUGUGUUCAUUGUGUUGCGUGAGAGACGAUAGAGAAAUCUAGGAGUGAGAAGAGAAGUCACAGAUAGAGAUGCUGGAAGAGAGGUGGUCGGGGUGGUUUAUAUAGACCAGAAAUAUGGCCGUUGAAAAUAUAGCCGUUGGAAUAUAGCCGUUUGAAAAUAUAGCCGUUGGAAUAUACACGUCCUGAUUUACACGU
Lolium perenne is the source of this 742-nucleotide long non-coding RNA. RefSeq lists it as uncharacterized. The record is from RefSeq and is a predicted model, not a curated record. NCBI's taxonomy places the organism in Eukaryota, Viridiplantae, Streptophyta, Magnoliopsida, Poales, Poaceae.